AUUAGAGACUUAGAGACCAAAGCCCUCUAUCCACAGAAGAGCAGAAACAUAGGCUGCAGUAGCGCUAGCUUUCCUACAUUGUUCCAACAAAUGGACCUCAUCCCUGACCUGGAGAUACUACUUCUAGGGAUGAUAAGGGCAUUGGAGUAUCCAUGCUCAUUCAGUCUUUGAUCUCU
RNAcentral lists this small RNA (176 nucleotides) under Chrysemys picta bellii (western painted turtle). Its description in RNAcentral is "TUC338 (ENSCPBG00000014604.1)". The record is from RNAcentral. Lineage: Eukaryota; Metazoa; Chordata; Testudines; Emydidae.